Molecule: small nucleolar RNA, 68 nt
Organism: Conger conger (European conger)
Lineage: Eukaryota; Metazoa; Chordata; Actinopteri; Anguilliformes; Congridae
Product: small nucleolar RNA SNORD52
Exons: 1
Source: RefSeq, a predicted model, not a curated record
UGUGCUGAUGAAUUCAUAGACUAGAGUCUCUGAUUUUGAUGUGAUGCUCUUUCACAGUGCACUGAACA